CUGUAAAAAAUUACCGUUAAUUUACGGCCUAAUUUUACGGUACUGAACUGUUUUAUAAAUUUACAGUUUCUUGCCGUAAAUGGUUGCAUGAGUGGUGAGCGUGGGGGAGGAACUGCACUGAAAUUACUGAGUGGUAUGUGUUGGCCACUUAUUAAUAUGCAUUUUCUGUCUGGACUUGUAUUAUAAAGACUGAAUAAUUUUGAAACGUCAUCAGUAGAUGGCCAAGUACUGUUCCAAUUCAAAGUUAACUUCUAGCAAAGAACAGUUAAAAUCCUAUAUGUGUUCCAGUACAGUAAACGUUUGUUUUGGACUGCAUAACUCCUUUAAUAUAACCAUAAAUAAUGUCAUAAAAGGUCUGUUCAUUCAAUAAACCGGGCAAAAUCUGUAUGAACGUAUACGUAGAAAUAAUAUUGAGGACACACUGCACGAUAAUGAAACCUUUAGUUUGAUUAAAAGUCGAUUAAUAUUUCUGUUUUUAUUUUUUAUUAAAUAAAUAUUCUAUGUUGGCUCUAAACAGGCAACUUUCUUUCUUGGAAGCAGCACUGGAAGAAGCACUUUACUUUCAUCUUUUAUAUCUUUAUUUACUUUUAUUAUGUUAUUAUUGGCGGAGGCGCGUAAGGCGCGUGUCCGUAUACCGAAUGCUUUGAUCACGUGAUUAUUCAAACCAGGAGACGCGCAAUCUGGAUUAACCGCUGUUCUCCUCAGACGAGUGUUUUGGUGGUAUUAUGAGAUCCCUUUCUUGGUGUGUCUUGAUGUUUUAUAUUGGCUAAAGACAAGAUAUGUCUGCAAAUGCUGGUUCCAUGUCACAUGGCUUAUUCAAGACUAGAUCUACAAAAAAAC
Molecule: long non-coding RNA, 840 nt
Organism: Paramisgurnus dabryanus
Lineage: Eukaryota; Metazoa; Chordata; Actinopteri; Cypriniformes; Cobitidae
Source: RefSeq, a predicted model, not a curated record